CAUGAAUGCGACUGAAUUUUUAACGUUCUGUAGAAUUGGAAAAAUCGCAGUAUUUCCUCUCCACAGUGGAGCUAUGAAACCACAGAGAGUGUGUGUGUUUAUGUGUCUGUGCGCCUAAAAGGGAAGGAGCGGAUGCAUGCGCGACUUCCACAAAGACAGGAAGGCCGGGGAUGCAGGCGGGAGAGAGAGGCAAGCGUCAUCGCUACUGAACCGUUUCAAAAUAAACCAUAAAAUCACAUUGACCAAAGGCCCGCUGGGCAUUGUCUUUGUCUGAACACCUCCUGGUGAAGCUGUUUCCUCAGUGGAGGAUUUGGUAGCGAAGACUCAGGGGGUGGGGUGGGGGUUGGGACUCCACGUAAGCGUGUGAUUGCAGACCUGUCCUCGUUAAUGUGCUUCGGUCACCCCCUCUGAUAAUAGCUGCCUGGGGUUUCCACCACAGAGCCCUGCUGUGCUUCAUGCUCUGCGCUCUGCGCUUGCCUGGGCCCAGGACAGAGGGGGAGCCGGCUGGUCACCGGAGGACCAUAUACAUCCUCGAGUUACGUGGGAAAGAAUUUUCCGAGACACCCGGGAGCACCACCGUUUUUGGUGCAAGAUCUUCUGAAGCCGUAAUAAAGACACUCAUUUGAGGGGAUGGGCAUUGGAUAAUCAAGUCAUACCUGGCCAUGGGUGAGUUCCCCAUCACAGAAGACCAUGGAGCAGAGACAGGUAGGUGCCUCACUGGGGAAAGGGUGGCUCAAAAGGCACUGGAUGGGAGCUUGGAGUAGUUCACCUCUCAGGUCCUUCCAUUGCUAAGGUUUUCUGGUUCUAGUGAGAAUUGGUAGCAUUUUCUAUUUUCAAUGAAAACAUGAAGAGAUUAGAAGUAGCCUGACUUACACAUUUUCCCAAAGCUAGGCGAAACAUAUGUUAGCCGUAAGUCGCCAGUGUGAAGUUGGUCCCUGCCCUCGAAGACCUUGCUGCCUUCCUGAGCUCUCUCAGGGGGCUCAGGGAGGGUGACUUGGCAACUCCUUGAAUGCACUCUGUCAUUCAGGCUCUGGGAGUAAGCGACCACACCCGCCCAGGGUGCCAGGCAGCUGUGAUGACUCAGCUGAACAAUUAACCACGAAUGGAAACUUGAUUUGCUACUUGGUGCCGAGGUGGUCCCCACCACGGUCCUAGUCAACAGGCCAAUGACAAGCACCUUGUGCCUCGUCCCUUGGUGCCUCACUCCACUGCGGCAAAGGGAAUCUUCUGGGGACGAGUUGACCACACAGAAUGUCAAAACAGGCAUCUAUCUUCUUCCCUCUCCAUGGGGGCCUGUUCUCUGUAACCUGAC
This 1312-nucleotide long non-coding RNA is filed under the name Sus scrofa (pig). RNAcentral describes it as "lncRNA (ENSSSCG00035053151.1)". Lineage: Eukaryota; Metazoa; Chordata; Mammalia; Artiodactyla; Suidae. The record is from RNAcentral.